This 301-nucleotide ribosomal RNA is filed under the name uncultured bacterium. RNAcentral's name for it is "partial 16S ribosomal RNA". It matches the Rfam family "Bacterial small subunit ribosomal RNA", at positions 509 to 807 of the family's 1533-position model. The record is from RNAcentral.
CAGUCGCCGCGGGAAUACGGAGGGUGCAAGCGUUAUCCGGAUUUAUUGGGUUUAAAGGGUCCGUAGGCGGACUUAUAAGUCAGUGGUGAAAGCCUGUCGCUUAACGAUAGAACUGCCAUUGAUACUGUAAGUCUUGAGUAUAUUUGAGGUAGCUGGAAUAAGUAGUGUAGCGGUGAAAUGCAUAGAUAUUACUUAGAACACCAAUUGCGAAGGCAGGUUACCAAGAUAUAACUGACGCUGAGGGACGAAAGCGUGGGUAGCGAACAGGAUUAGAGACCCGAGUAGUCCCUGUCUCUUAUAC